AGAAUCAACGCUGGCGGCGUGCCUAACACAUGCAAGUCGAACGAGAAAGUGGAGCAAUCCAUGAGUAAAGUGGCGACCGGGUGAGUAACACGUGACUAACCUACCCUCGAGUGGGGAAUAACUCCGGGAAACCGGAGCUAAUACCGCAUAACAUCUUCGGAGCGCAAGCUCUGUUGAUCAAAGGAGCAAUUCGCUUGAGGAGGGAGUCGCGGCUGAUUAGCUAGUUGGCGGGGUAAUGGCCCACCAAGGCUUAGAUCGGUA
Molecule: ribosomal RNA, 261 nt
Filed under: uncultured bacterium
Lineage: Bacteria
Description: partial small subunit ribosomal RNA
Rfam family: Bacterial small subunit ribosomal RNA
Source: RNAcentral